RNAcentral lists this long non-coding RNA (2617 nucleotides) under Pomacea canaliculata. RNAcentral describes it as "uncharacterized LOC112572971". The record is from RNAcentral. Lineage: Eukaryota; Metazoa; Mollusca; Gastropoda; Architaenioglossa; Ampullariidae.
UAGGUUGGACAGCUGAACAUGCUGCUACCAGGUCUCAAUUUGGUAAACGACUGUCAGAGUUUGGACUUAUUCAGGAAAAAUUUGCAUGCAUGACAGUGACAGCAUAUGCCAUGGAGAGUAUGGCUUAUCUCACUGCAGGCAUUAUUGACAUGUACGAAGAACCUGACUGUUCAGUGGAGGCAGCCAUGGUCAAGGUGAGUUCCUGUCCUCGGGGUAGAUGACGAUCUUAUUGCAGGCAAAAUUGUUUAAAACUUCAUUUGCCAUUGAUAAAAAUCCCUUUAUUUUAUUUGGAACCAAGCAGCAUGAGGUAAAUCAGUAAAGUGGCUUAUGAGGGGUUGUUUGCCAAAAAUGUCUGCUUGCAGUAUAACUCCGUCUAGUUUCAAAUAUUUGUUUCCUUGGCUGUUGCUUGUAACUGUGCCGUUGCUUUCAGACAAGAAAGAAAACACAAACAAAAUACCUGAAAUAAAAAAUAGAUAUGUAGAGGGCUGGUAGGCUGGCGUUUGUUGUUAGUUUUUGGCAGGGAGGUGGUUGUUAGUUUUUGUCGGGACCUGCUCAGGCAUUGCGAAAGAGGAUAUUCGGCAGUGAUUGACUGGGGUUAAAGCUACUAAUUGCCCCAGCUGUAUAGUAGCCUUGUGGAAAGUUUAGCCUUCCGAGAGGUAUACAAGGGCAGAGCUAAGACGAAACGAGAGAACAGACGUCGGUGGAGGAGACAGCGAGCACAGACAUGCGGCAGAGAAGAGACAGCCUGACUUUUAGUGCCUCUGGCGAUUCGACACAGCCGUGGCCAUUGUACAAGCCCAUGUAUUAAAGGGUCGCACACUUCUUGACUGUUCCUGCCUUUGUUCAAGUGUUGGAAGUUUGUUGUCGUCACACCACAACCCCCACCACUCGGCUACAAAUAUAAUAUCAGAGAAUUAUUUUUAAAAACCCCAAAUAAUUAACCUAUUUCACAGACAUACACUAAGACAUUUAAAUCUUACGUUCCCCCUUUUACAAUAAAGUCUUUCCAUUACAGUCACUUCUAUAGACAGUCCUCUUUGAAGCCUCCUUCAACAGGUAAAGAGUAUUGAGAGUAAAAAUAAAGGAAGACAGACACAAUAAUCUUUUCUUGGUUGCCGUCCCUCUUGAAGUCAACCAAGAUCUGGCACAUCAAUAUGAAGAAUAUUCAGAUAAAAGAAAGGGGAAAAAAACCUGGACAGAAAAAAUGUAGUCCUUAAAAUCAGAUUUAAAUUCAUUAUACUACUAAUUUAAUAUUGCCCAAUUAAUAAUUAAGUCAAAAAUUUGUGCAUUCAAAAAGAUUCAAAAGCAAAUCUGACAGCCUCACCUCAGCAUGUGUUCAGAUGAAUAAUUUACACACUUUUUAACAAGUCUGGUCAGGCCUUAGCAACACAUCAAGGGAGAACUAUCAGUCAACAAACAAUCCCAGUCAAGGACACAAAACAACUGCCAAAGUCACUUCUCUGGCCUAAUCUUUACAAGAGGAGCCUCUCAAUGAUGCUGUUAUGUUAACUCUUAGCACUGCAUAAAAAUAUAAUCACAUAUUAAAACAAUGGUGUAUUUCUUAAGAUGCCAAAGAUAUCCGUGGGUGAUGUUUAUUUUUAUACUUUGCUGCUCUCAGGUUAACAGUAAACCACAAAACCUAUAAAUCUUUGGAAAGGAGAAAACUUUGUAAUAAAAGUAAUUAAAAUCCAAGAAAAUUCAGUUUACUAUUCUUGGGGCAUAUGAGCAGAGCCACUUUCGUGGUUCAUUGUGCACUGCUGGCAAAGCCAUGCUCAUGGCCCAUUGCACUAAGAGGGUUAAAGAAAAAGUCUUUGUCCUGAGAUGCUCACACCUACCCACAUACUCCUGUGCACUCACCACCUUCCAUCCAUUUCAGUUUCCUUUUCAUCCAAAUUAUUUUGGGAAAAAACUCCAGAUUUGUGAGAAUGGCAUUCAUAUAAUUCACAGACACGAGUAUUUUUUUGACGCAUUUUCAGGAUAGGUGAUGCAAAUCAAGAUUCUAAAUCAUCAGGUGCUGAUUGAACUGAGAGAUUACUUGAAGAAUAGGUGUUACAGAUGAAUACAUGUGCAAGAAAAUGGAAACAAGGAUUAGUUAAUAAAUGAGACUACAUUUUGUGUUGAUAUAAACAGGAUUAUUUGCUUCAUGAAAAUUAUUGUACAUAAUUAUAAUUUAAUUUGUGUUGAAAAUUGGUACACAAUAACAAUGAUGUAUAAAUGUUUUUUUGUAUUGAAUGUCAUUCCCCCCCCCCAAAAAAAAAAAAAAAAAAAAUCCCAGAUCAUUUAUUGGCUGUCAGAAUUUUAAAGUCUAGCAGAUUAAGAAAAAGGCUAGAGCUGACACUUUUUUCCUGUGUUACUGGAUGUAUUUGAUUUGCAGAUUUUCAGCUCUGAGGUUGCUGGACAUGUGUGAGUGAGUGCCUUCAGAUUCUGGGAGGCCUGGGCUAUAUGAAGGACUAUCCAUAUGAGAGAUACCUCAGAGACUCUAGGAUCCUUCUUAUAUUUGAGGGAACAAAUGAAAUCCUACGCCUGUUUGUUGCACUACAAGGAUUGCAACAUGCUGGCAAGAAGCUGAAGGAUCUUGUCAAGAAACUGCGUGAUCCUUUCAAUAAUCCAAAGCUGG